GGUAGGCAGUAACCCCCCAUCACACCUCACCUCCUCACUACAACCUGUGAAGUGAUCCCGAAAGCUCUCUCAGUGACUAAUGGUGAUGGGUACCAUCCCCAAAGCACUGAUGGCUCUCCUCUGACAGCCUUGGGAGGAGCCAGGGCAGGGGCUCGUUUUUUCUAAGUUUAUUGUGAUUCCCUCACUUCACAGAGUGAUUCUAUGUAUCCUAGGGUUUGUGGAUAUGAGCCUUUAGUAAUAUAACCUAACAUACACUGGUACAUUCUUCAGAAAAAGUGGAUGACUUCUGGGCAGUGAUCUCUUUGGAAGUUCAAAGUGGCUUAAAUGCAAUUUUGACAAUAAUGACAUGUUAUAGUGCAUUUAUGUUCAGCCACCUCUUUGAUGACUGGAAGUAUUAUAGUAACACUUUUAUAUAUUCCUAAAACUGAAUAAGAAUUUAUCCUCAUCAGACAAGAUAUAUACCAAUAUCUGAAUAGUUUCAGUUUAGAAUGUACCACAUUAAAAUACAAUUUUGUUUUGCUUGAUAUAGUGAUGUCUAAGCUCAAUAUAAGAGAAUGUAUUUACGUCUCAUUUCCUCGCCCAUGCCAAAAGGACACAAAACCUUGGGGGGAAGCAGACCAGACAUUUGAAGGCAUUAAGCAUAUAACCCAUCCUAGUUUGAUUUGCCAUGAGGUGAAGACAGAGAUCUGAUGUCAGAGGAUUCUGCCCCAAGAUGAAGAGUUUGAGAAAACAGUCAAGGUAUGCAGAAUGUGAAGAAACACCUCUUCUGUUCUCACUGCUGCAUAAAUGAAGAUGCAAUUGAAUGGGGUAAUUUUAGUAAAUCCUGGAAGAAUAAAUGAAGGCAAUCAUAGAA
Molecule: long non-coding RNA, 853 nt
Organism: Passer domesticus (house sparrow)
Lineage: Eukaryota; Metazoa; Chordata; Aves; Passeriformes; Passeridae
Exons: 3
Source: RefSeq, a predicted model, not a curated record